This 253-nucleotide ribosomal RNA is filed under the name uncultured bacterium. RNAcentral describes it as "partial 16S ribosomal RNA". It matches the Rfam family "Bacterial small subunit ribosomal RNA", at positions 524 to 776 of the family's 1533-position model. The record is from RNAcentral.
UACGGGGGGGGCAAGCGUUGUUCGGAAUUACUGGGCGUAAAGGGCUCGUAGGUGGCCAACUAAGUCAGACGUGAAAUCCCCAGGCUCAACUUGGGAACUGCGUCUGAUACUGGAUGGCUUGAAUUCGGGAGAGGGAUGCAGAAUUCCAGGUGUAGCGGUGAAAUGCGUAGAUAUCUGGAGGAAUACCGGUGGCGAGGGCGGCAUCCUGGACCGAGAUUGACACUGAUGAGCGAAAGCUAGGGGAGCAAACGGG